Macaca mulatta (Rhesus monkey) is the source of this 1443-nucleotide non-coding RNA. The record is from RefSeq and is a predicted model, not a curated record. NCBI's taxonomy places the organism in Eukaryota, Metazoa, Chordata, Mammalia, Primates, Cercopithecidae.
CCUCACUGAAUCCGCAUGACUCAUAAUUUGCUGCUCAACUAUGGUCUCUACCGAAAAAUGGGAAUCCAUCGCCCUCACAAAGCCAAUGCUGAGGAGAUGACAUGCAGUUACAGCAAUGACUACAUUAAAUUCUUGCACUCCACCCGUCCAGAUAACAUGUCGGAGUACAGCAAGCAGAUGCAGAGAUUCAACAUUGGUGAGGACUGUCUGGUAUUCGAUGGCCUGUUUGAGUUCUGUCAGUUGUCUACUGGUGGUUCUGUGGCAAGUGCUGUGAAACUUAAUAAGCAGCAGACAGACAUUGCUGUGAGCUGGGCUGGGGGCCUGCACCAUGCAAAGAAGUCUGAGGCAUCUGGCUUCUGUUACGUCAAUGAUGUCGUCUUGGCCAUCCUGGAACUGCUAAAGUAUCACCAGAGGGUGCUGUGUAUUGACAUUGAUAUUCACCAUGGCGACGGUGUGGAAGAGGCCUUCUAUACCACAGACCGGGUCAUGACUGUGUCUUUUCAUAAGUAUGGAGAGUACUUCCCAGGAACUGGGGACCUAUGGGAUAUCGGGGCUGGCAAAGGCAAGUAUUAUGCUGUUAACUACCCGCUCCGAGACGGGAUUGAGGACGAGUCCUGUGAGAUCAUUUUCAAGCCGGUCAUGUCCAAAGUAAUGGAGAUGUUCCAGCCUAGUGCGGUGGCCUUACAGUGUGGCUCAGACUCCCUAUCUGGGGAUCGGUUAGGUUGCUUCAGUCCAACCAUCAAAGGGCACGCCAAGUGUGUGGAACUUGUCAAGAGCUUUAACCUGCCUAUGCUAAUGCUGGGAGGUGGUGGUUACACCAUUUAUAAUGUUGCCCGGUGCUGGACAUACGAGACAGCUGUGGCCCUGGAUACGGAGAUCCCUAAUGAGCUUCCGUACAACGACUACUUUGAAUACUUUGGACCAGAUUUCAAGCUCCACAUCAGUCCUUCCAAUAUGAGUAACCAGAGCACCAAUGAGUACCCGGAGAAGAUCAAACAGCGACUGUUUGAGAACCUUAGAGUGCUGCCGCAUGCACCCGAGGUCCAAAUGCAGGCGAUUCCUGAGGACAAAAUCCCUGAGGAGAGCGGCGAUGAGGACGAAGAAGACCCUGAGCAGCGCAUCUCGAUCUGCUCCUCUGACAAACGAACUGCCUGUGAGGAAGAGUUCUCCGAUUCUGAAGAGGAGGGAGAGGGGGGCCGCAAGAACUCUUCCAACUUCAAAAAAGCCAAGAGAGUCAAAACAGAGGAUGAAAAAGAGAAAGACCCAGAGGAGAAGAAAGAAGUCACAGAAGAGGAGAAAACCAAGGAGGAGAAGCCAGAAGCCAAAGGGGUCAAGGAGGAGGUCAAGUUGGCCUGAACAGACCUCUCCAGCUCUGGCUUCCUGCAGAGUCCCUCACCUUUCUCCCCCAACCCGUCAGAGUUUAUAUUUUCUUUCUUUCUUUUU